Molecule: long non-coding RNA, 1241 nt
Filed under: Brassica rapa (field mustard)
Lineage: Eukaryota; Viridiplantae; Streptophyta; Magnoliopsida; Brassicales; Brassicaceae
Description: long non-coding RNA (BRAP_LNC006042)
Source: RNAcentral
UACAAGCAAGAAACUCCUAAGAUCACCCGCAACGGUAUAGUUUGAGGGUCCUUAACACAUAAUCCUAGACUAAUUGGAAUAAAAUAAUAUUAACAAAGCUCAGUUUGGUAAGGAGCAGUCCUAAUCAAGAGGUUUUAAGGAGCAAAUCCUUAGUGACGUGGCAAGAUCUUUUCCGAUCAUCACCGGAGCUAACGUCUUCCGAUCACUUAUAGAAACCACUUUUAAAACUCAUUAAAAGAUUAGAAUUGCUAUAGAAACUUGAAUUUUUUUUUUUUUAAAAAAUAACUUAUAGAAACCACUUUUAAAAUUGAUUAAAAGAUUAGAAUUGCUAUAGAAACUUGAAAAGAAAAAAAAACUUAUAGAAACCACUUUUAAAACUCAUUAAAAGAUUAAAAUUGCUAUAGAAACUUGAAAAAAAAAAUAACUUAUAGAAACCACUUUUAAAAUUGAUUAAAAAAUUAGAAUUGCUAUAGAAACUUGAAAAAAAAUUAAAAAAAAUAACUUAUAGAAACCACUUUUAAAACUCAUUAAAAGAUUAGAAUUGCUAUAGAAACUUGAAAAAAAUAAUAAAAAAAUAACUUAUAGAAACCACUUUUAAAACUAAUUAAAAGAUUAGAAUUGCUAUAGAAAAUUGAAAAAAAAAUUAAAAAAAUAACUUAUAGAAACCACUUUUAAAAUUUCUAUUAAAUCAUGUUAUAAAUAAAAAAAAAUUAAUUUCACUUUUUUAAAAAAAUAUAAUUUUCUUAUUAAUAAAGAUUCCAAAAGUAAGACCCACUAUUGGACUUAUAUAUUGGAUUAGGAUCCUUAACUAUUAAAAAAAAAUAGUAAAGUAAGCUUAAGGACUUCAUGGUAAGCCUCAUCAUUGCGGAUGCUCUAAUAAAGUUGCUGGGCAUUCUAAAUUUUUAAUAAACAUGUCAUGUCAUCCUAGUUGGUAUUAAGUUUUGGAUUAAUCAAAAAUAUGAAACUGAACCAAAAAUCAUUAUAGUAAACAUGCGUAUAAACAUCAUUUGUUUCAUUAUUUAUCUAUGUUUACGUUUGUGUUUGCAUUAAAAUUAUUAAAAUAUGGAAAUACAAACAUAAGCACACAACAUUUUUUUAAUGGUGCUAUAGUAAAAUUGUCUUCACAGUCAUUUUUUGGAAAACAAAUCAUAGUAAUUAUGAUAUGAACAAGUUAUGAUUUGCUUAAGAACUACGGAAAAGACCAUCAUUUUCCGUGCCAUUUUAUUCCGAUCAUCUCAAAC